This 97-nucleotide non-coding RNA is filed under the name bovine gut metagenome. RNAcentral's name for it is "SAM riboswitch (S box leader)". It matches the Rfam family "SAM riboswitch aptamer (S box leader)". Rfam says of the family: The SAM riboswitch is found upstream of a number of genes which code for proteins involved in methionine or cysteine biosynthesis in Gram-positive bacteria. The record is from RNAcentral.
CUUAUCAAGAGCGACUGAGGAAACAGGUCCUGUGAAGUCCGGCAACCUGACUUUUUGUUGAUGGUGCUAAAUCCUGCGGUAUUACCGAGAGAUGAGG